RNAcentral lists this long non-coding RNA (1330 nucleotides) under Homo sapiens (human). RNAcentral describes it as "TBX3 antisense RNA 1 (TBX3-AS1)". The record is from RNAcentral. Lineage: Eukaryota; Metazoa; Chordata; Mammalia; Primates; Hominidae.
UGCUGUGAGGAGAGCUGGUGUUCCUUUGGCCUGGGGCCCACCCAGAAUGGACACACUUGGGGGCAGACUGGAGCCCACCUUGCAUCUGGAGCUAAGCUGUCAGACCUGCAGCUUGAAGCAGGGCAGCCUGGCUGAGGCCCACCCAGAUCAGCCAACUUGCAAACACAGAAGAAACCAGUGCUUCUUGUGACAGGGUCUCUCUUUGUUGCCUAGGCUGGAGUGCAGUGGAACGAACUUGGCUUAUUGAAGCAUUGACCACCUGGACCCAAGUGAUUCUCCUACCUUAGCCUCUUGAAUAGCUGUGACAACAGGUGUGCACUACCACACCCAGAUAAAUUUUGUAAUUUUUAUAGAGAGGGCAUUUGACCAUGUUGCCCAGGCUGGUCUCAAACUCCUGAGCUCAAGUGAUACUCCUGCCUCGGCCUCCCAAAGUGCUGGGAUUACAGAUGAAGAAAAUGAGGCACUGAGAGAUUACAUAACUUCCCUUGAGUCAUAUUUGCUUGUAAGUGGUAAGGCUGGAUGUUGAACCCAGGACAAAGGGUCUCACUCUGUCGCCCAGUCUGGAGUGCAAUGGUGUGAUCACGGUCACUGCAACCUCUGCCUCCCGGGUUCAAGCGAUUCUCCUGCCUCAGCCUCCCAAGUAGCUGGGAUUACAGCGGCUUGCAGUAAACUUCUUGGAGGAGAAUUGGCAUUGCAAGGGUGUUACUGGAGACCUCGGCAAGAAAGUGAAUGCAAAGACAGAUGACCCAGGAACCCGUGAUGGAUAAGGCUCUUGACAGCCAGGACGUGGAAUUACAGGGGGUCUCUUUGAGAGACAAAAUAAAAAAAAUAGCCCAGUAAUCUUCCUUCCACCCUUUUCUCCCAGAUCUAAUUACAGAUGUCUUGACAUUCCUUCUGCAUAGAAUUUCCUUAAAAGAUUUGCCAAGAAGAAACAUUUGGAAACUGUGUUUUAGGUAUAAUCCGUCUGGGAGUCACUCUUGCUCGCUUUGUCGUUAGAUGACAAAACGCUUAAUUACAGCGAGCACAAUGUAUACCACAUUUGGAAAACUGGAUUCUUGACCUAAAUAAUGUACCCCAUACUGACAAUGGCCUUUUGGCAAAACUUGUGUCUCUGAUCUCACAUUAAUUACUACACAAAUAUACUUAUUGUGGGCACCGAGUUUAUGGGAUGGAGUCCUCUUGACACAUGUUCACCAUAAAAACACAUUUUUUUCCCUUCCCCUGACCCUAAGGAAAAGAAAAAAAAAAAGAUUAACAUUUUUCAAGAUGCUGUUUUAGUGACAUGAAAACUGUCUGUUGAGUGUUCACUCGGCUUUUGUUCUUUUUCUUU